Long non-coding RNA from Lepidothrix coronata (blue-crowned manakin), 93 nucleotides. RefSeq lists it as uncharacterized. The record is from RefSeq and is a predicted model, not a curated record. Lineage: Eukaryota; Metazoa; Chordata; Aves; Passeriformes; Pipridae. The transcript has 5 exons.
CACGUGGCCUGGGCCGCGCCGACCAAUGGAAGCGCGUGUUUCUGAAAGAUCUCCAUAUAUGGCGAUCGGAAGCGCACACGUGUGAACCCCAGU